RNAcentral lists this long non-coding RNA (328 nucleotides) under Chrysolophus pictus (golden pheasant). Its description in RNAcentral is "lncRNA (ENSCPIG00010001479.1)". Lineage: Eukaryota; Metazoa; Chordata; Aves; Galliformes; Phasianidae. The record is from RNAcentral.
GCAGGAAUUAACAAGGGCUCGCUCAGCCUCAGAGAGCUCCACAGCAUCCCUGGAGGAAGGCAGCCAGACAUCCUCAGACAGCACUGCUGAGGAGCCGGAGGGGACGUCGGAGGACAAGAGCUCUGGAUUCCGAUGGUUCGGCUGGUUUCGGUCCAAGCCCCAGAAGGAAACCUCUCCCAAAGUCACGACCUCAGGCUCCCCCACGCCAGGACUGCAGGAUCGGAGGUCCCCAUCCCCACCUGGUGCUGUCCCUUCUGCUCAGCCCCCAGCACCCCCAUCUCCUUACAGAAACCCCGGUAAGUGCUCCUAUUGGGAAGCUUCUCCUUUC